GAUGAACGCUGGCGGCGUGCCUAAUACAUGCAAGUCGAGCGAACGGACGAGAAGCUUGCUUCUCUGAUGUUAGCGGCGGACGGGUGAGUAACACGUGGAUAACCUACCUAUAAGACUGGGAUAACUUCGGGAAACCGGAGCUAAUACCGGAUGAUAUUUUGAACCGCAUGGUUCAAAAGUGAAAGACGGUCUUGCUGUCACUUAUAGAUGGAUCCGCGCUGCAUUAGCUAGUUGGUAAGGUAAUGGCUUACCAAGGCAACGAUGCAUAGCCGACCUGAGGGGGUGAUCGGCCACACUGGAACUGAGACACGGUCCAGACUCCUACGGGAGGCAGCAGUAGGGAAUCUUCCGCAAUGGGCGAAAGCCUGACGGAGCAACGCCGCGUGAGUGAUGAAGGUCUUCGGAUCGUAAAACUCUGUUAUUAGGGAAGAACAUAUGUGUAAGUAACUGUGCACAUCUUGACGGUACCUAAUCAGAAAGCCACGGCUAACUACGUG
Molecule: ribosomal RNA, 497 nt
Filed under: uncultured bacterium
Lineage: Bacteria
Description: partial 16S ribosomal RNA
Rfam family: Bacterial small subunit ribosomal RNA
Source: RNAcentral